UACGGAGGGUGCAAGCGUUGUUCGGAUUUACUGGGCGUAAAGCGCGCGCAGGUGGGUGUGCAAGUCGGAAGUGAAAUCCCAGGGCUCAACCCUGGGGCUGCUCCCGAAACUGCACGUCUAGGGACUGGUAGAGGCUGGUAGAAUUCCCGGUGUAGCGGUGGAAUGCGUAGAGAUCGGGAAGAAUACCUGUGGCGAAGGCGGCCAGCUGGGCCAGAUCCGACACUGAGGCGCGAAAGCGUGGGGAGCAAACAGG
This 253-nucleotide ribosomal RNA is filed under the name uncultured bacterium. RNAcentral's name for it is "partial 16S ribosomal RNA". It matches the Rfam family "Bacterial small subunit ribosomal RNA", at positions 524 to 776 of the family's 1533-position model. The record is from RNAcentral.